This 245-nucleotide ribosomal RNA is filed under the name uncultured Bacillota bacterium. RNAcentral describes it as "uncultured Firmicutes bacterium partial 16S ribosomal RNA". It matches the Rfam family "Bacterial small subunit ribosomal RNA", at positions 524 to 769 of the family's 1533-position model. Lineage: Bacteria; Bacillati; Bacillota. The record is from RNAcentral.
UACGUAGGGGGCAAGCGUUAUCCGGAAUUAUUGGGCGUAAAGCGUGCGUAGGCGGUUUAUUAAGUCAGUCGUAAAAGAUCUCAGCCCAACUGAGUAGGGCGAUUGAAACUGAUAGACUUGAAUACGGUAGAGGUAAGUGGAAUUCCAUGUGUAGCGGUGGAAUGCGUAGAUAUAUGGAGGAACACCAAUGGCGAAGGCAGCUUACUGGGCCGGAAUUGACGCUGAGGCACGAAAGCGUGGGGAGC